GAUGAACGCUGGCGGCGUGCUUAACACAUGCAAGUCGAACGGAAAGGCCCAAGCUUGCUUGGGUACUCGAGUGGCGAACGGGUGUGUAACACGUGGGUGAUCUUCCCUGCACUUCGGGAUAAGCCUGGGAAACUGGGUCUAAUACCGGCUAGGACGAUGGCUUGGAUGCCAUUUUGGAAAGUUUUUUCGGUGUGGGAUGAGCUCGCGGCCUAUCAGCUUGUUGUUGGGGUAAUGGCUUACCAAGGCGUCGACGGGUAGCCGGCCUGAGAGGGUGUACGGCCACAUUGGGGCGGAGAUACGGCCCAGAAUCCUACGGGAGGCAGCAGUGGGGAAGAUUGCACAAUGGGCGCAAGCCUGAUGCAGCGACGCCGCGUGGGGGAUGACGGCCUUCGUGUUGUAAACUCCUUUCGCUAGGGACGAAGCGUUUUUGUGACGGUACCUGGAGAAGAAGCACCGGCUAACUACGUG
Molecule: ribosomal RNA, 468 nt
Filed under: uncultured bacterium
Lineage: Bacteria
Description: partial 16S ribosomal RNA
Rfam family: Bacterial small subunit ribosomal RNA
Source: RNAcentral